AGCCUUCUGCCCUGCUCCCCCUCUCUAAUCCUUGCUAUCUGGGUGCUAGUGCUGUCUCAAUGCAAUGCACCUGGGCAAGGAUUCAGAGAGGG
Molecule: microRNA precursor, 92 nt
Organism: Equus caballus (horse)
Lineage: Eukaryota; Metazoa; Chordata; Mammalia; Perissodactyla; Equidae
Gene: MIR502
Product: microRNA 502
Source: Ensembl